This 1528-nucleotide ribosomal RNA is filed under the name Pseudomonas filiscindens. RNAcentral's name for it is "16S ribosomal RNA". It matches the Rfam family "Bacterial small subunit ribosomal RNA". The record is from RNAcentral. Lineage: Bacteria; Pseudomonadati; Pseudomonadota; Gammaproteobacteria; Pseudomonadales; Pseudomonadaceae.
GAGUUUGAUCAUGGCUCAGAUUGAACGCUGGCGGCAGGCCUAACACAUGCAAGUCGAGCGGAUGAGAAGAGCUUGCUCUUCGAUUCAGCGGCGGACGGGUGAGUAAUACCUAGGAAUCUGCCUGGUAGUGGGGGACAACGUUUCGAAAGGAACGCUAAUACCGCAUACGCCCUACGGGGGAAAGCAGGGGACCUUCGGGCCUUGCGCUAUCAGAUGAGCCUAGGUCGGAUUAGCUAGUUGGUGAGGUAAUGGCUCACCAAGGCGACGAUCCGUAACUGGUCUGAGAGGAUGAUCAGUCACACUGGAACUGAGACACGGUCCAGACUCCUACGGGAGGCAGCAGUGGGGAAUAUUGGACAAUGGGCGAAAGCCUGAUCCAGCCAUGCCGCGUGUGUGAAGAAGGUCUUCGGAUUGUAAAGCACUUUAAGUUGGGAGGAAGGGUACUUACCUAAUACGUGAGUAUUUUGACGUUACCGACAGAAUAAGCACCGGCUAACUCUGUGCCAGCAGCCGCGGUAAUACAGAGGGUGCAAGCGUUAAUCGGAAUUACUGGGCGUAAAGCGCGCGUAGGUGGUUCGUUAAGUUGGAUGUGAAAUCCCCGGGCUCAACCUGGGAACUGCAUCCAAAACUGGCGAGCUAGAGUAGGGCAGAGGGUGGUGGAAUUUCCUGUGUAGCGGUGAAAUGCGUAGAUAUAGGAAGGAACACCAGUGGCGAAGGCGACCACCUGGGCUCAUACUGACACUGAGGUGCGAAAGCGUGGGGAGCAAACAGGAUUAGAUACCCUGGUAGUCCACGCCGUAAACGAUGUCAACUAGCCGUUGGAAUCCUUGAGAUUUUAGUGGCGCAGCUAACGCAUUAAGUUGACCGCCUGGGGAGUACGGCCGCAAGGUUAAAACUCAAAUGAAUUGACGGGGGCCCGCACAAGCGGUGGAGCAUGUGGUUUAAUUCGAAGCAACGCGAAGAACCUUACCAGGCCUUGACAUGCAGAGAACUUUCCAGAGAUGGAUUUGUGCCUUCGGGAACUCUGACACAGGUGCUGCUUGGCUGUCGUCAGCUCGUGUCGUGAGAUGUUGGGUUAAGUCCCGUAACGAGCGCAACCCUUGUCCUUAGUUACCAGCACGUUAUGGUGGGCACUCUAAGGAGACUGCCGGUGACAAACCGGAGGAAGGUGGGAAUGACGUCAAGUCAUCAUGGCCCUUACGGGCUUGGGCUACACACGUGUACAAUGGUCGGUAAGAGGGUUGCCAACCCGCGAGGUGGAGCUAAUCUCACAAAACCGAUGGUAGUCCGGAUCGCAGUUUGCAACUCGACUGCGUGAAGUCGGAAUCGCUAGUAAUCGCGAAUCAGAAUGUCGCGGUGAAUACGUUCCCGGGCCUUGUACACACCGCCCGUCACACCAUGGGAGUGGGUUGCACCAGAAGUAGCUAGUCUAACCUUCGGGAGGACGGUUACCACGGUGUGAUUCAUGACUGGGGUGAAGUCGUAACAAGGUAGGCGUAGGGGAACCUGCGGCUGGAUCACCUCCUUA